Molecule: ribosomal RNA, 407 nt
Filed under: uncultured bacterium
Lineage: Bacteria
Description: partial 16S ribosomal RNA
Rfam family: Bacterial small subunit ribosomal RNA
Source: RNAcentral
AUUGAACGCUGGCGGGAGGCCUAACACAUGCAAGUCGAACGGAGUGGCGGACGGGUGAGUAAUAUCUCGGAAAGUGCCCGGUAGCGGGGGAUAACUACCGGAAACGGGCGCUAAUACCGCAUACUAUCAGAUCGGCCCAGGUCGGAUUAGCUAGUUGGUGGGGUAAAGGCCUACCAAGGCGACGAUCCGUAGCUGGGUUGAGAGGAGGAUCAGGCACACUGGGACUGAGACACGGUCCAGACUCCUACGGGAGGCAGCAGUGGGGAAUAUUGGACAAUGGGGGAAAGCCUGAUCCAGCCAUUCCGCGUGUAUGAAGAAGGCCUUCGGAUUGUAAAGUACUUUAGGGAGGGAGGCGGUAUCAACAGAAUAAGCACCGGCUAACUUCGUGCCAGCAGCCGCGGUAAUAC